UCUUUAUAUUUUGAGUUUUAAUUAAGUGGAUUUGAUUUAUGUGAAGAAAGAGUAUUUUGGAAGCUUGGGUAGUACAAAGAUUCAGUUCUUUAUGAGUAUAACGUUUAUCUGGAUUCUGCAAAUUAUCUCUAAUGCUAACACUUAUUUCUCCCGCUCCAAUGUAUCUGAUCACAUUAAUAGACCAUGUUGGCUGACUGCUACACACGAUGAUGAUGAUUGGGAUCACAAGUGGUGUUAAUGCUAAUAACCAAUUAAGUUUUAGAGGACGAUCAAGGGAUGCUUCUGAUAGAUUGAUACCCAUAAAGUGUUCGAUAAAUAUAUCAGGAAAAUAUUUCCUACUUCUUCAGAGGAUAGCACAAUACCAGCAACAUAUUGAAAUAGAAGCCAUUCUUUGUGUAUGCCCCCCGCUAAGACGAGCAGAGUAACAGGCCCUUUAGUUUAGAUUUCUAAGGUGGGGCUCUAUGCAUCUGAUAGAGGUGCUUUCUUAUUUAUGAAAUACUUUUCCAGACUCCAAACUAUAACAUAUUGAGGUUUUCUUUUAUUAUCAAAUUGUAAGAGCCUACUAUUUCAGCAAGUUUGCCUCUCAAACUAGAGUUCAUGUAACUUAUGUCCUAAUGCCUUUUGAUUUAGAUAUCUGAAAUAUCUAAAACCACGAAUUAGCAUUCGAUGCUGAUCUAUAAAUUUUUUGUAAUACUUAAUGGAUUCCUUUCUUAAAAAGUGUUUUUUUUUUUUUUUUUUUUUUUUUUGGAGGAUUAACUCCAACAUGUAUAGUGAUGAUGACAACGAGUAAUAUAUAUCUUGAUAAUGAUGAGAUUUCUACUAUAUAGAAGAGUGAACAAUGGAACGACCAAGGGGAAAAACGUAAAUUCUCUCAGUGAAAAAAAAAAUCUUCGUCACAUUUACACCAACACAGACCCAAUAUAUAUGUCUAGAAACAUCCAUUCAUCUGUUUCUCUCCUUCAUAUUUCUCAAGUGCCACCCUCUCAAAGAAUGGUCUUUCAGUUUUCUUAAGUCUCAAUGAACUUUUUCGGUUGGUUACAACGUCAAGUAUGUUCAUCUUUCAAUUUUUGCCCAAUUCUUGUUCGUUUUUUCCCCUUCAUCUUCUUUUCAAUCCUUGGCUUUUUCGGAUCUUUUCAGAUUCCUAAGAUUGUUAUCAUUCUGUCUUUCCAUAAGUUCGUCACCUGAACGUAGAAGCAUGGAACAUUGAGUGGGAAAAAAAAUACAAAAAUAGAUGACCAAAUAAAAAAGGGAAGGCUUCGUUAUGUAUAAAAUGUAGAAGCGUGACUGAGAGUAGAUAAAGAUGAAAAAACAGAUGAUAGCAGUGUUUCAAUCUGGGUUGACUCCUUAGCGCAGAACGAGAAUCUCUUCACCGGAUAAUCUGGUGAUACUUUAAUAUUGUAAUUUUACAUCCAACAUUAAUGACAAUUUAGAUAUUUUGCCUAUUAACAGUGGUUCGAAAUAUCUAGACUACUCAAUAGCAUUCCCUAUCAGUCCUCUCCCUCGCAGGGUAUGAUCUAUGUUCGCCAUAAACUCAUUUGCUGACAGUGGGCGUCAAAAAACAACUAGACCAGCAAUUUCAUGGCUUUUCUCUGGUGUAUUAGGAUCUUUCUAAGGAUUAAAAGCAACUAAACUGUCAAAUUCCAAUGGUAAAAGAGGUAGUUCUUUUCUUAAAUUCAGUUUUUUUCCUUGCUUUAUAAUUGUUCAUAUAUUUUAUUUUAGCAAUUUAUGGUGGGAAUCAUUAUGGUAACUGUAGAUCUUUGUAAGCAAGUUAUGUUGGAAUUAUAGUGGGUUAUCUCAAAACAGGGUUCGGGGAUUGUAUCGGACUUAAGAUGGAAAUUUGUAUGCUCCGGUAACUGUGACUCAAGCAAAUGAGCCCUGCUGCUUUGUGGCUUCUUAUCUUUUUGUUUCUUUUAUUUUUAUUUUAAUAUUUCGUCGGUGAUCUAAUCUUUUUUAAAAUGAAAUAUGGUAAAGACUUGAUCUUGAUACACUAAUGCUGUGAAUAGACAAGUGGUUGUGCAUUCUGUUUGAGCAAGCAAAUGCAAUUAUGUGAUUUUCUUACUAUGCUAUUUAACGAGUGUUCUUCGAGGGCUAUGGAGUACUUCAAGAUCUUUUUUCUAUGUUAAACAACCAUAAUUUGUCUUACAUCUCAGGACAUUGUGGAAAGAUAUAAACUUAUAUUUUGAGAUUAAUAUGAAGAACAUUAUAUGCGUGUUUGAAAGCCUUAAUUCAAGAAGCUGUUUGUGACAUUUCAUUCUUUUUUGUUCAGGGACCAGGAUUCUUCGAUGCCUGAUGAAACUUCUGAUUGAAGACUACAGUUUAUAUAGCAAAUGACCUUGCAAAUAACCUUCUCAAGUGGUCUAAUCAGGAUAUGGUCCAAUGAGAUAGGAGUUUAUAAAACUGCUGAUAGAUAUUCUAGGCACCAUGUUGGUUAAUUACCCUUUAAAUAACUUGUGCCUCCAGCCCUUUACAUACUUCUUGACAUGCUCUCUGAUGGUUGAGAUGGCUAAAACACUCAAUAUUGAGGCUCCUGACUUGUGUGUAUGCCAAAGUCCUGCAACCAAUGCAUAUACACUGGCCGUUAGUGAGGAAUGGAGAGAUGACACAAGAGAAACAGCUUUGAGCCAUUUUAAGAGUGUGGGACAACUUUUACUACGCUUGACUGCACGGGUAGAUGACGUGUAAGAUUAUCUUACACAAAAUCUAGUCCAUGUCGUAUGUUACGUUGUUCGAGAUUAGUUUGAAGAUGCAACUCCUUUCUGGAAAAAGUGUGCAUGAAGUAGUAAUGUCUCUUCCAAAUAAUUCACAUGAAUAUUAUUUUUUGGUAUUUACACAUGAAUCUUCUUUCUAUGGUGUAUCUUGUUACAUUUAUGUUUCAGUGUGUGACAAAAUACGUUUGUAUUGUUGUAUUGUUAUUGCCUCUAUUAUUCUAAAUAAAGUUCUAAAGUUUCAGCUUG
Long non-coding RNA from Lycium ferocissimum, 2954 nucleotides. RefSeq lists it as uncharacterized. Lineage: Eukaryota; Viridiplantae; Streptophyta; Magnoliopsida; Solanales; Solanaceae. The record is from RefSeq and is a predicted model, not a curated record. The transcript is spliced from 4 exons.